CCGUUUUCAAAGUCGCAGGGCGGGCCGAGGGGACUUCCUCCGCCGGCUUGGGGCUUCCCAGCUGUCCUGGUGUCGCCCUCCUCACCUCCGCUGCUCUGUAAGGACCUCGCCACCAAGCUGUCCUCCAGCUCCCUCGGCGCUCUCCUAAGUGGCUUGAUAAGACCCUGAGUGACCCGCGGAACGCCUGUAACCUGUGUUCGCUUGGCACCAGAGUAGGAUUCGUUUGAAAAGAAUUCACUUGGAUCAUCUCCAGCAGUCCAAAAAUCUGAAGUCUGGGACUAAAGAGAAGGAAGCGCGGCGGGGUUGUUGACGCCUCGUGAGCAGGAUGCUGAUUACACCGCUCGAUUGCUUGACAACCUACGAGCGUAGCCUUAGUUUCUUCUAGCCCCGGCCCCCGCACAGCGAGAAGGUAAAGGCGGUGAAAGCUCCAAACUAAGAUUGUAUCGAAAUGGCCACAGAAGUCAACUUGCUGAGAAAUGAAAAUCAAAUACUACAUGAAAUUCUUAGGUGGUACCACAGAGAAAGUUUUUCCAAAUAUUCAUCUGUACAGAAAUCUGUCAGAGGACAUGGAGAUGACAUAUUAGGAAACCCAGUAACUGACCAAAGCUUUUUAGCUCCUCUUAUUGCUGAGUAUGAUAAUCUUCUAGUACAACUAAAUGGGCAGCUGAAAUAUUAUCAGAAGCAGAUGGGUGAGCUGAAACUACAACUUGAAAAUGUCGUCAAAGAAAAUGAAAGGUUACACAGUGAAUUAAAAGAUGUUGUUGAAAAGCAAUUGGAGGCCCUUCCCCUUGACUCAGAGAUAGGAAUAGCUAUAUGUACAGAUGACGAAACAGUCAGGAACCUUCAAGAACAAUUGCAACUAGCCAAUCAAGAAAAAACUCAGGCUGUGGAACUCUGGCAGACUGUUUCUCAGGAGUUAGAGAGAUUACAGAAACUGUAUCAGGAACAUAUGACUGAGGCCCAGAUUUGUGUACUAGAAAGUCAAAAGCAAAAGGAUCAGCUGACCAAUUAUCAACAGCUAACCAAGCAACUUCACAUUAAUAAGGUGAACACAGAAGUGACUAACCAACAUAUUCUGAAAACAAUAACUGAACAAAGUGUGGAAAUUGAACAGCUUCGAAAACAACUUAGGCAAGCCAAGACAGAUAUGAGAAUUGCAGUAGCAAAAGUGGAAGAGUUAACUAAAGCAACUGAAGAUCUUCAGGAACAGAUGCAAAAGAAGGAGGAGGAUAUGAUGUCUGCCCAAGGAAGAGAGGAAGCAUCAGAUAGGCGCGUACAGCAAUUACAAACUAGUAUAAAACAAUUAGAAACAAGAUUAUGUGUGGAAAUCCAAGAGGCCAACCAAUUAAGAACAGAAAAAACACAUCUGGAAAAACAUACCAGAGACCUACAAGCAACGUGUAAUGAAUUAGAAAAUGAGAAAUUUGAGGCUAUUACAAGAGCCCGAAAUAGCAUGCAACUCUUAGAAGAAGCUAACCUUCAAAAAAAUCAGGCUCUGCUUGAGGAGAAGCAAAAAGAAGAAUAUAUAAGGAAGAUGAAAGAAACAGUUUCUCGGAUUUUGCAAGAAGCUGCUGUAAGAACCAGGAAAGAAAUUACAAACACAAAAAAGCAAUAUAAUGUACAGAUUUCUCGAUUAUCAGAAGAACUGUCAGCCCUUCAAAUGGAAUGUGCUGAGAAACAAGGCCAAAUGGAAAGAACCAUUAAGGAAAAAAAAGCAGUAGAAGAAGAACUAGAAAAGAUUUACCGUGAAGGCAGAGGAAAUGAAAAUGAUUACAGAAAACUGGAAGAAAUGCACCAAAGAUGGUUGGUUGCAGAGCGUUCAAAGGAUGAUCUUCAGCUAACACUUAAGAGAGCGGAAAAUAGAAUAAAACAACUUGAAAUUAACUCCUCAGAAGAAAUAUCACGUUCCCAAGAAAUGAUUCAGAAACUUCAAAAUGUAUUGGAGUCUGAGAGAAAGAACUGUGGAUUUGUCAGUGAACAAAGGCUGAAACUUCAGCAAGAAAAUGAACAGUUACAGAAGGAGACUGAGAAUUUAAGAAAGAUUGCUCUGGAGGCUCAAAAAACAGCCAAAUUAAAGAUCAGUACAAUGGAACAUGAAUUUUCCAUAAAGGAACAUGGGUUUGAAGUUCAAUUGAGAGAGAUGGAAGACAGUAAUCGAAACUCCACCAUUGAACUACAGCAUCUCUUAUCGACUCAACAGAAGGCAGCCAGUAGGUGGAAAGAAGAAACAAAGAAACUUACUGAAAGUGCAGAAAUUAGAAUUGGUAAUCUAAAGAGUGAGCUGAAUCGACAGAAACUUUAUACCCAAGAGCUGCUUUCUCAGCUGGAAAUGGCAAAUGAAAAGGUAGUUGAGAAUGAAAACUUAAUUCUAGAGCAUCAAGAAAAAGCCAACAGACUUCAAAGGCGUCUAAAUCAGGCUGAAGAGAGAGCUGCUUCAGCUUCCCAGCAGAGACUCAAGCAGUACAGGUAAACCAGAAUGAAAAUCGGUGAGAAAAAGGAGAAGAGUUCCCUUUGAGACUGCUGCAUGCACGAGAAAAACAGCAGAGAAGAUUUGCUUCCCAAAGAAAUUGUUUUACACCGCCACAUACAAGUCAAGUAAUAAUGGGAAACUAUCAGGACUGGCCAGGUGUGCUGGCUCACACCUGUAGUCCCAGCACUUUGGGAGACUGAGGAGGGAGAAGAGUUGAGACCAGGAGUUGAAGACCAGCCCAGCCCAACAUAUAUAGCAAAGCACUGCCUGUACAAAAAUGUAAAUUAAUUAAUUAAAAGAAUAUCAGAACACACUGAUGAUGUAUUAAGAAUGGCACUACACAUAAUUUUAUCUUUGCUACUUAAUUUGUCAUUUGUUAUUUGUAAAGAUAACUAGAUUUAUUAUAAAUACUUUAUAUCACAGAAAUGCUGACUUGAAGGUUUUGUAUAGCUUCAGUUAAAAAUGUCAAAUGACAUCAGUCCUCAUCACUAAAAAAUUAUAUGAUUUCAAGUAAUUCUCUUUAACUUGCCAAGCAAUGUUAGGAUAUAGGGAAGAUUAAGUUAUUCUUUCAGUUCCUGAUAGCUGUGUUGUUUGAUCAUAUAUGUGUAUAUUAAUCAGUAA
Molecule: RNA transcript, 3091 nt
Organism: Nycticebus coucang (slow loris)
Lineage: Eukaryota; Metazoa; Chordata; Mammalia; Primates; Lorisidae
Gene: SCLT1
Gene name: sodium channel and clathrin linker 1
Exons: 22
Source: RefSeq, a predicted model, not a curated record